UACAGAGGUCUCAAGCGUUGUUCGGAUUCAUUGGGCGUAAAGGGUGCGUAGGUGGCGCCAUAAGUCAGGUGUGAAAUCUCGGGGCUCAACCCCGAAACUGCAUUUGAUACUGUGGUGCUCGAGUACUGGAGAGGAGAUUGGAAUUUACGGUGUAGCAGUGAAAUGCGUAGAUAUCGUAAGGAAGACCAGUGGCGAAGGCGAAUCUCUGGACAGUUACUGACACUGAGGCACGAAGGCCAGGGAGCAAACGGG
RNAcentral lists this ribosomal RNA (252 nucleotides) under uncultured bacterium. Its description in RNAcentral is "partial 16S ribosomal RNA". It matches the Rfam family "Bacterial small subunit ribosomal RNA", at positions 524 to 776 of the family's 1533-position model. The record is from RNAcentral.